RNAcentral lists this ribosomal RNA (668 nucleotides) under uncultured Bacteroidota bacterium. RNAcentral describes it as "bacterial SSU rRNA". It matches the Rfam family "Bacterial small subunit ribosomal RNA", at positions 1 to 663 of the family's 1533-position model. The record is from RNAcentral. Lineage: Bacteria; Pseudomonadati; Bacteroidota.
GGAUCCAGACUUUGAUCAUGGCUCAGGAUGAACGCUAGCGGCAGGCUUAACACAUGCAAGUCGAGGGGCAGCGCGGGGCGGCAACGUCCUGGCGGCGACCGGCGGAAGGGUGCGUAACGCGUGAGCGACAUGCCCGUUGCCCGGGGACAACCGGUGGAAACGCCGACUAAUCCCCGAUGGGACGGAGGCCCUCAUGGGUCUCUGUUGAAAGUUACGGCGGCGACGGAUUGGCUCGCGUCCGAUUAGCUUGUUGGCGGGGUAACGGCCCACCAAGGCUACGAUCGGUAGGGGUUCUGAGAGGAAGGUCCCCCACAAUGGAACUGAGACACGGUCCAUACUCCUACGGGAGGCAGCAGUGAGGAAUAUUGGUCAAUGGGCGGAAGCCUGAACCAGCCAUGCCGCGUGCGGGAAGGAGGCCCUAUGGGCUGUGAACCGCUUUUGCCUGGGGGCAAUAAGGGCGUCGCGCACGUCCGAUGAGAGUACCAGGGGAAUAAGCAUCGGCUAACUCCGUGCCAGCAGCCGCGGUAAUACGGGGGAUGCGAGCGUUAUCCGGAUUCAUUGGGUUUAAAGGGUGCGUAGGCUGUGCGUCAAGUCAGGGGUGAAAUUCCGGGGCUCAACUCCGGGGCUGCCCUUGAUACUGUCGCGCUGGAGUGCGGAUGCCGCCGGAG